Non-coding RNA from Myodes glareolus (Bank vole), 446 nucleotides. Lineage: Eukaryota; Metazoa; Chordata; Mammalia; Rodentia; Cricetidae. The record is from the annotation of a RefSeq genome assembly.
ACUGAGAUAAAAGCUCAAUUGUGUUCUCACAAUCAUUAAUAACACUCCUUUGUUCAUCUCCUCAAAAUGAUGUGUCUUGUCCAUUCCCUGUUUCUGCUGAUAUUCUGGAUUUUGGAGACCAGUGGUGAUGUUGUGAUGACCCAGACUCCACUCUCAUUGUCAGUGAACAUUGGGCAAUCAGCCUCCAUCUCUUGCCAGUCCAGUCAGAGCAUCUUACACAGUGAUGGAAAAACCUAUUUGAAUUGGUUCCUACAGAGGCCAGGCCAGCGUCCACAGCAACUAAUUUAUCAGGUGUCCAAACUUAGGUCUGGAGUCCCAGAGAGGUUCAGUGGGAGUGGGUCAGGGACAGAUUUCACUCUUAAAAUCAGCAAAGUGGAGCCUGAAGAUUUGGGAGUUUAUUACUGCAUGCAAGGUUCAUAUGUUCCUCCCACAGUGAUGUAGACCCU